Molecule: ribosomal RNA, 407 nt
Filed under: uncultured bacterium
Lineage: Bacteria
Description: partial 16S ribosomal RNA
Rfam family: Bacterial small subunit ribosomal RNA
Source: RNAcentral
AUUGAACGCUGGCGGCAGGCCUAACACAUGCAAGUCGAGCGGAGCUACCGACGGGUGGGUAAUUCCUAGGAAUCUGCCUGAUCUUGGGGGAUAACGUACGGUAACGGGCGCUAAUAUCGCACACUACCAGCUGAGCCUAGGUCGGAUUCGCUAGUUGGUUGGGUAACGGCCUACCAAGGCGACGAUCCAUAUCUGGUCUGAGAGGAUGAUCAGUCACACUGGAACUGAGACACGGUCCAGACUCCUACGGGAGGCAGCAGUGGGGAAUAUUGGACAAUGGGCGAAAGCCUGAUCCAGCCAUGCCGCGUGUGUGAAGAAGGUCUUCGGAUCGUAAAGCACUGUUAGUUGGGAGGCGGUACCUAAAGAAUAAGCCACGGCUAACUACGUGCCAGCAGCCGCGGUAAUAC